Molecule: non-coding RNA, 388 nt
Organism: Pelobates cultripes (western spadefoot toad)
Lineage: Eukaryota; Metazoa; Chordata; Amphibia; Anura; Pelobatidae
Source: the annotation of a GenBank genome assembly
CCCUCACCACAGUUUGACCCCGCCCCUGCCGCAUGUUAAGCCCCACCCCUGACACAAAAAAUCGUGGUGGAGAAUUCAUUAUUUUCCACCAAGGAUUAUUAAAAAACAAACACAUUUCCCUUGAUACAGUCCAUACACACACACACACACAGACUGCUGACCCCUUACACACAGAGACACACAGACUGCUGACCACACACACACAUAGACACACAGACUGCUGAGUCCAUACAAACACAGACACAUAGACUGCCACACACACACACACACAGACUGCUGAGUCCAUACACACACAUACACAGACUGCUGAGUCCAUACACACACAAACACAGACUGCUGAGUCCAUACACACAGACUGCUGAGUCCUCACACAGUGCUGAGCCCAUAC